Molecule: ribosomal RNA, 253 nt
Filed under: uncultured bacterium
Lineage: Bacteria
Also listed under: 1 other name
Description: partial 16S ribosomal RNA
Rfam family: Bacterial small subunit ribosomal RNA
Source: RNAcentral
UACAGAGGUCCCAAGCGUUGUUCGGAUUCACUGGGCGUAAAGGGUGCGUAGGUGGUCGGGUAAGUCUGAUGUGAAAUCUCUGAGCUCAACUCAGAAAUGGCAUUGGAUACUAUUCGGCUCGAGGGUUGGAGGGGGGACUGGAAUUCUCGGUGUAGCAGUGAAAUGCGUAGAUAUCGAGAGGAACACCAGUGGCGAAGGCGAGUCCCUGGACAACUCCUGACGCUGAGGCACGAAAGCUAGGGGAGCAAACAGG